GAGCGACGCAUUGAGAACGGAACAAUAAAAAUCACCUUUCGGCUGAGCG
This 49-nucleotide small nucleolar RNA is filed under the name Trypanosoma cruzi. RNAcentral describes it as "C/D small nucleolar RNA (snoRNA), TB11C4C2, 5' partial". Lineage: Eukaryota; Euglenozoa; Kinetoplastea; Trypanosomatida; Trypanosomatidae. The record is from RNAcentral.